RNAcentral lists this non-coding RNA (30 nucleotides) under Cricetulus griseus (Chinese hamster). The record is from RNAcentral. Lineage: Eukaryota; Metazoa; Chordata; Mammalia; Rodentia; Cricetidae.
ACCCAGGUUAUGUGGGGCUGGAGCCUGAAU